Molecule: ribosomal RNA, 195 nt
Filed under: uncultured bacterium
Lineage: Bacteria
Description: partial 16S ribosomal RNA
Rfam family: Bacterial small subunit ribosomal RNA
Source: RNAcentral
CAACUCGACUACAUGAAGCUGGAAUCGCUAGUAAUCGCGAAUCAGCAUGUCGCGGUGAAUACGUUCCCGGGUCUUGUACACACCGCCCGUCACACCAUGGGAGUUGGUAACGCCCGAAGCCAGUGACCCAACCUUAAGAGGAGGGAGCUGUCGAAGGUGGGACCGAUAACUGGGGUGAAGUCGUAACAAGGUAUC